AUUAAUAAUCUUAAGAUACAUAUCACAGAUUUUAUUAAACUUAAUUACUACUUCACACAUCGACAAAUUUAUGUAUGCACUUCGGAACUAAAGGAAAUUUACAGCUUGAUUUAGAACAUUCUUUAUCAUCCGUGCACACAAGCAUAUCUGUUAUGUUAAAAAAAGGAAUGUUAAUAAUGAAGAAAAUAUUAAAGAAAAAAGACAGCAAAUAAACUUACAUAGGGCUUCUUCGGUUACAAUAGUAAAUGUCAAAGAAAAAAAAUAAUAAUGUAAACAAACUUAAGAAUUUGAGUCAUAUUUUUCUCGUUCUCUUGCAAAAAUAAAACUAUGUCAUCAUUAUAGUGUAAAAAUAUUCAAUCUUUAAAUUAAAAUAAUUGUUAAAUGUCUCUUGUGUUUAUCUAUAUGAUAUGUUUGUCUUUACUGUAAACUGAAUCGACCACUUAACCGUAAUUUAUAUAUUACUUAAAAAUCUUGAUGCUCACAAGAGUUCUUUAUUUUUUUUAUUAAAUGAUUAUUGGUAGUUAGUUUCUUUCUAAAAUAUUUUACAGCGUUAUUCAAUAAAAUUAUAAUAAUGUUUCUCCAUUUCAUAUGAAAUAUUUAAAAGUAAACGUGUGAUUUUAUUAGGAUAUAUGUUUUUGAUUGAUUGGCAGUAUAAAAAUAUUUUAUAUGUCAGUGUAUAUUCUUUUUUUCAUAUUAUUAAUCAUUGUAGGAAUAAUGUAUAUAAUAACUUAUUUACAGAGCGAAGUGUGAUUUAAACUUUUUUGAUCGUAGACAUCCAUUCAAAAUCUUAAAGUGGAGUUUAGAUGAAUUAAAUUGAGAAUUUUUUGAUAAUUCAAAAUUUUAAACAAUUCAAAUGAUUCAAAUGAUACAAUUGAAAUUCAAUUAUUUUUAAAAAAGAUAUUGAUAAAUUAUUAANAUAUAUAUAUAUAUAUAUAUAUAUAUAUAUAUAUAUAUAUAUAUAUUAAUGUAAAAAAUUAUAAUAUUUAUAAAUUAAUAAUUUAAGAAUACAUAUCACAGAUUUUAUUAAACUUAAUUACUACUUCACACAUCGACAAAUUUUAUGUAUGCACUUCGGAACUAAAGGAAAUUUACAGCUUGAUUUAGAACAUUCUUUAUCAUCCGUGCACACAAGCAUAUCUGUUAUGUUAAAUAAAAAAAGGAAUGUUAAUAAUGAAGAAAAUAUUUAAAGAAAAAAAGACAGCAAAUAAACUUACAUAGGGCUUCUUCGGUUACAAUAGUAAAUGUCAAAAGAAAAAAAAUAAUAAUGUAAACAAACUUAAGAAUUUGAGUCAUAUUUUUCUCGUUCUCUUGCAAAAAUAAAAACUAUGUCAUCAAUUAUAGUGUAAAAAUAUUCAAUCUUUAAAUUAAAAUAAUUGUUAAAUGUC
Molecule: long non-coding RNA, 1385 nt
Filed under: Lathyrus oleraceus (garden pea)
Lineage: Eukaryota; Viridiplantae; Streptophyta; Magnoliopsida; Fabales; Fabaceae
Description: Pisum sativum (pea) long non-coding RNA (PSAT_LNC000251)
Source: RNAcentral